AUUGAACGCUGGCGGCAGGCCUAACACAUGCAAGUCGAACGGUAACAGGGAUCAGCUUGCUGAUUCGCUGACGAGUGGCGGACGGGUGAGUCAUGUCUGUGAAACUGCCUGAUGGAGGGGGAUAACUCCUGGAAACGGUAGCUAAUACCGCAUAACGUCGCAAGACCAAAGAGGGGGACCUUCGGGCCUCUUGCCAUCGGAUGUGCCCAGAUGGGAUUAGCUAGUAGGUGGGGUAACGGCUCACCUAGGCGACGAUCCCUAGCUGGUCUGAGAGGAUGACCAGCCACACUGGAACUGAGACACGGUCCAGACUCCUACGGGAGGCAGCAGUGGGGAAUAUUGCACAAUGGGCGCAAGCCUGAUGCAGCCAUGCCGCGUGUAUGAAGAAGGCCUUCGGGUUGUAAAGUACUUUCAGCGGGGAGGAAGGGAGUAAAGUUAAUACCUUUGCUCAUUGACGUUACCCGCAGAAGAAGCACCGGCUAACUCCGUG
Molecule: ribosomal RNA, 490 nt
Filed under: uncultured bacterium
Lineage: Bacteria
Description: partial 16S ribosomal RNA
Rfam family: Bacterial small subunit ribosomal RNA
Source: RNAcentral